RNAcentral lists this ribosomal RNA (1255 nucleotides) under Ixodes ricinus (castor bean tick). RNAcentral describes it as "large subunit ribosomal RNA". The stretch from base 988 to 1146 matches the Rfam family "Archaeal large subunit ribosomal RNA", at positions 2544 to 2703 of the family's 2987-position model. Lineage: Eukaryota; Metazoa; Arthropoda; Arachnida; Ixodida; Ixodidae. The record is from RNAcentral.
UUUUUUUAAUAAAAAAUUAAAAUUUUUUAAGNNNNAAAAAUAAAAUUAUAUUUAAUUUUUUGUAUAUUAUAGAGAAAAAUUUAAUUUAUUUACUGUAAAGGAAAAAUGAAAAUUUUUAAAAAUUUAAAAUUGUGAUAGUACAUUUUAGGUACCUUUUGCAUAAGGGUUUUUAGAAAAAUAUUAAAAUAUUUUUUAAUCCCGAAUUUAAAAUGAGCUAUUUUAAUACUUUGAAUUAUGUGGAAAUAUAAUAAAAAAUAUUUUAAUAGAAAUGAAAUUUUAUUCAUAUUUAAUGAUAUCUGGUUAUAAAUAAAUGAUUUUAGGUCAGAAUUAUAAUUUUAAGUUUUUAAGAACACUAUAAUUUUUAUCUAUGAGGGAUAAGCUUAAUAGAUUUCUUUAUAAUUUUAUUGUAAAUUUAAUUAAGGAUUAAAAUUGUCUAAUUCUUUUUAAAAAGAAUUACAAUUUUUAGUAAAAAUUAAUUUAAGAUUUUUUUAUGAUUAAAUUAAUUUUUAAAUUUAAUAAAAUUAUUAAAAAAUUAGUAAAAUAUAAUGAUAAUAAUAAUAUAUUUAAAAAUAUACUUACAAAGUAAAUUUAAUUAUAGUAAUUCGGCAAAUUAAAUUAAUUGACUGUUUAUCAAAAACAUUUCAUUUUGGAAAAUAAUAAAAUGUAUAAUCUGCUCAAUGAUUUUUUUUUUUAAAUUGCUGUGGUAUUUUGACUAUACGAAGGUAUUGAAAUAAGAUUUUAAAUGAGUGCUAAGAGAAUGAUUAAACAAUUAAAAGCUUUCUUUAAUUGAAUAAUUGAAUUUAAUUUUUUAGUGCAAAAGCAAAAAUAAAAAUUAGGGACAAGAAGACCCUAUGAAUUUUUUAUUAAAUUUUAUAAAACUUUAUAUAAAGUUUAAUUUAAUUGGGGUGAUGGAAAAAGAAUAAAUAUCUUUUUUUUUAAAGAAAAUUGGUUCCGUUUUUAGCGAUUAAAUGAAAAAAAUACUCUAGGGAUAACAGCGUAAUAAUUUUGGAUAGUUCAUAUAGAUAAAAUAGUUUGCGACCUCGAUGUUGGAUUAGGAUUCUUUUUUGGUGAAGAAGUUAAAAAAAGAAGUUUGUUCAACUUAUAAUUUCCUACAUGAUCUGAGUUCAGACCGGCGUAAGCCAGGUUGGUUUCUAUCUUAAUUAAAAAAUUUAUUUUUAUAGUACGAAAGGAAUUAAAAAUAUAAAACUUUUUAUUAAAAGAAAUAUUUUUUUUAAAACUAAUUUGGCAGAAAAAA